ACUCCUACGGGAGGCAGCAGUGGGAAUAUUGGACAAUGGGGGAACCCUGAUCCAGCAAUGCCGCGUGUGUGAAGAAGGCCUAUGGGUUGUAAAGCACUUUCGCUAGCGAGGAAGGGGCUUAGGUUAAGAGCUAGAGUCACUUGACGUUAACUAGAGAAGAAGCACCGGCUAACUCUGUGCCAGCAGCCGCGGUAAUACAGAGGGUGCGAGCGUUAAUCGGAAUUACUGGGCGUAAAGCGCACGUAGGUGGUUAUUUAAGUUAGAUGUGAAAUAUCCGGGCUCAACCUGGAGGGUCAUCUAAUACUGGGUAACUAGAGUACAGUAGAGGAUAGUGGAAUUUCCGGUGUAGUGGUGAAAUACGUAGAUAUCGGAAGGAACACCAGUGGCGAAGGCGGCUAUCUGGACUGAUACUGACACUGAGGUGCNAAAGCGUGGGGUAGCGAAACAGGAUUAGAUACCCUGGUAGGCUCUGCU
RNAcentral lists this ribosomal RNA (474 nucleotides) under uncultured bacterium. RNAcentral describes it as "bacterial SSU rRNA". It matches the Rfam family "Bacterial small subunit ribosomal RNA", at positions 335 to 801 of the family's 1533-position model. The record is from RNAcentral.